RNAcentral lists this ribosomal RNA (393 nucleotides) under uncultured bacterium. Its description in RNAcentral is "partial 16S ribosomal RNA". It matches the Rfam family "Bacterial small subunit ribosomal RNA", at positions 523 to 918 of the family's 1533-position model. The record is from RNAcentral.
CUACGGAGGAUCCGAGCGUUAUCCGGAUUUAUUGGGUUUAAAGGGUGCGCAGGCGGGAGAUUAAGUCGGCGGUGAAAUUUUGCAGCUCAACUGUAAAAGAGCCUUCGAAACUGGUUUCCUUGAGUGUAGAUGAAGUAGGCGGAAUUUGUGGUGUAGCGGUGAAAUCCAUAGAUAUCACGAGGAACUCCGAUUGCGCAGGCAGCUUACUAAACUACUACUGACGCUCAGGCACGAAGGCGUGGGGAUCAAACAGGAUUAGAUACCCUGGUAGUCCACGCAGUAAACGAUGAUUACUAGCUGUUUGCGAUACAAUGUAAGCGGCUGAGCGAAAGCGUUAAGUAAUCCACCUGGGGAGUACGUUCGCAAGAAUGAAACUCAAAUGAAUUGACGGGG